Cladochytrium replicatum is the source of this 82-nucleotide non-coding RNA. The record is from the annotation of a GenBank genome assembly. NCBI's taxonomy places the organism in Eukaryota, Fungi, Chytridiomycota, Chytridiomycetes, Cladochytriales, Cladochytriaceae.
GGAUGGGUGUCCGAGUUGGUUAAGGAGGUGGACUUAAGUCCCACUGGCUCACGCCGCCAGGGUUCGAGUCCCUGCUCAUCCA